UACGUAGGGUGCGAGCGUUAAUCGGAAUUACUGGGCGUAAAGCGUGCGCAGGCGGUUAUGUAAGACAGAGGUGAAAUCCCCGGGCUCAAACUGGGAACUGCCUUUGUGACUGCAUGACUAGAGUACGGCAGAGGGGGAUGGAAUUCCGCGUGUAGCAGUGAAAUGCGUAGAUAUGCGGAGGAACACCGAUGGCGAAGGCAAUCCCCUGGGCCUGUACUGACGCUCAUGCACGAAAGCGUGGGGAGCAAACAGG
Molecule: ribosomal RNA, 253 nt
Filed under: uncultured bacterium
Lineage: Bacteria
Description: partial 16S ribosomal RNA
Rfam family: Bacterial small subunit ribosomal RNA
Source: RNAcentral